CCCAAGAAACAUCAAACCCUCCCAAGAAACCCCAUUUUGCCGAAUACACCAAUCCAUCACCAUCUCCAUCAAAAUUCUCAUCAAAGUUUAAGAUUUUUGGAGGCAAAACAUGGAUUGAUUAAAGAUCCGGCAAGGAACGCAGCUAAUGGACAAGGAGCACCUUAAACUAGACGGCAGUUAAUCGAUCGAGGUUUUAGGAGUAGCAAGCGUCUUUCCUUUCAGGUAAAAUGUUUUGACGUGGCGGACUUCUAUCCUUGUUCAGAAGUCCGUAUUUUGGAAAUAUGUAAAUAAGGAGACGUCGAUCGAUAGUGCUGCAGUAGAUGUCAAGUCCUAGUUAUGAAUAUGGCUUUGCUGAACGGUUUUAAUGUUUUAUCCAAACUCUGAUAUGUAAAUAAAGUUUUAAACUGCGCUUUUAA
Long non-coding RNA from Mercurialis annua (annual mercury), 416 nucleotides. RefSeq lists it as uncharacterized. The record is from RefSeq and is a predicted model, not a curated record. The transcript has 3 exons. Lineage: Eukaryota; Viridiplantae; Streptophyta; Magnoliopsida; Malpighiales; Euphorbiaceae.